RNAcentral lists this transfer RNA (69 nucleotides) under Ictidomys tridecemlineatus (thirteen-lined ground squirrel). RNAcentral's name for it is "Spermophilus tridecemlineatus (thirteen-lined ground squirrel) tRNA". It matches the Rfam family "tRNA". From Rfam's summary of the family: Transfer RNA (tRNA) molecules are approximately 80 nucleotides in length. Their secondary structure includes four short double-helical elements and three loops (D, anti-codon, and T loops). RNAcentral also lists the same sequence under 1 other name. Lineage: Eukaryota; Metazoa; Chordata; Mammalia; Rodentia; Sciuridae. The record is from Rfam by way of RNAcentral.
GGGGUUGUAGCUCAGUGGUAGAGUGCUUGCCUCUCAUGCAUGAGGCCCUGGGCUGGGUCCCCAGCACCA